GACGAGGGAUCCUAGCGUUGUUCGGAAUCAUUGGGCGUAAAGCGGGUGUAGGUGGCUAUGUAAGUCAGGUGUGAAAUCCCAGGGCUCAACCCUGGAAGUGCAUUUGAUACUGCGUAGCUUGAGUGUAGGAGAGGAUAGUAGAAUUCCUGGUGUAGUGGUGAAAUACGUAGAUAUCAGGAGGAAUACCGGAGGCGAAGGCGGCUAUCUGGCCUAACACUGACACUCAGACCCGAAAGCGUGGGGAUCAAACAGG
Molecule: ribosomal RNA, 253 nt
Filed under: uncultured bacterium
Lineage: Bacteria
Description: partial 16S ribosomal RNA
Rfam family: Bacterial small subunit ribosomal RNA
Source: RNAcentral